CAUGUACUCCCUCCAUCUGAAUAUACUUGUCGUCAAAAUGAAUAAAACAUAAUGUACCUAGAUGUAUUUUAGUUUUAGAUACAUCGUUUUUUGUCCAUUUUGAUGAUAAGUAUUUAUGGACGGAGGAAGUACUCC
Non-coding RNA from Triticum aestivum (bread wheat), 135 nucleotides. Lineage: Eukaryota; Viridiplantae; Streptophyta; Magnoliopsida; Poales; Poaceae. The record is from Rfam.